Molecule: long non-coding RNA, 274 nt
Filed under: Ananas comosus (pineapple)
Lineage: Eukaryota; Viridiplantae; Streptophyta; Magnoliopsida; Poales; Bromeliaceae
Description: long non-coding RNA (ACOM_LNC022479)
Source: RNAcentral
UUUAAUUCUUCAAUCACUAUUUUUUAUGAGAUUUUUAUUUUUGGCCGUUCAUUUUAAGACUACUCGUUCACUAGAAAAAUGCAGCUGAAAAAUUAUGAAAUUUGAUUUCUAAAUAGUUUAAUACUGUAAAUUAUGCUUAAUCAAGCUAAUCGUCAAAUCAGAUGUUUUAUCAUCGAAAACAACUUGAAAGGGUAGAGACAUUCCUGCUUUCUAAAGCAUACUAGCCUCUCUCUCUCUCUCUCUCUCUCUCUCUCUCUCUCUCUCUCUCUCUCUC